This 1342-nucleotide unclassified non-coding RNA is filed under the name Hevea brasiliensis (rubber tree). Lineage: Eukaryota; Viridiplantae; Streptophyta; Magnoliopsida; Malpighiales; Euphorbiaceae. The record is from RNAcentral.
AUGAAAUAUUCUCAUAUAUUUAAUGUAGAAAAACAAAAGUGAUUAAGGAAUCAAAUAUUGGUAAAAGGAAGUCCUAAUGUAACAAAAAAAGCAGUUAUGAAAAGUUUUCCAUGGAAGCUACAACGCACAAGUGAGAAUAUAACAUGUUCUAACAUGAAACUUGACUUACCUUUAGCAUUUUUCUGUGUCUUAGAUUCAAAGAUCUACAGGGCAUAUUACAAUUAAAACAAUCGAGACACACAAAAAUAAAUGCAUAUUUAUGUGGAUGUCAGCAAGGGCUUUGGUGCAAUGGUCAGUUUGCUCAAUUGUGACCUACAGUUCACAGGGUCUUACCAUGGAAACAACCUCCUACAGUGCAAGGGAGAAUGCAGUGUACAUCUAGCCCUCCAUGGAGCCCAAAAUGCACAAAGUCUUGUAAAAUACAUUUUCACAUUGCAUAUAAGCAUUAUGGAAGUGAAUUAAGUCUAUACAUCAUAUGGAGUUUGGGCUGGUAAUAGCCCCUAGAGGAAGCAUGAGUUUAAAUAGAAGAGAUAAACUUUGGUAAUAGUGAUCAAAGCUAAUUGAACUUCUAUUUGACACGACUUUGGAGGGGGGCAAAAAGUAAGAGAAGCAUGACCCUUUAGCCUAGUAAUUUGAUUGAGAGUUACUUUUCUCCUUUUUCCUUUAACCAUUGUUAUACCUUAGCCCAACCCCUUGGUGUAUUAGCCCAACCCCUUGGUGUAUGUCUGAGCAUAAGUAAGCCUCACUUUGAAAAGAGAUGGGCCAUUGGACCCAGAAGGUCUUAGCAGGGGGACGGAGACCAAGGGACAAAGGAAAAUUGAAAGUGGUAAUUUUUUCCUGGCUCCCUCUGCACAAAAGUAGACAGAAUAACUGGAUGAGAGAGAGAGGGGCAUUUCUACAGUUACAAUUCCUUAUAUAGUCCCAUUAAACUCUAUUAUCUUCCGAAUUCCCAACAAUUGAUCACUGAUGUAUUGCAAUACAAUUGGUAGAAUAGAGAGAAGGGCCAUGUUUCAAUGCCUAAAGAGUUGCAACUUAUUGUCAAAUUUCUCCCCUCAAACCUGAAUUAUUAGCAGCACUUUAAAUACAUUAGUCAACUUAAGCAUGUAGCAAUGUACAUUCUCAAUGUCAUGAGGACAAGUACAAAACCCAUUGCUGCAAAGAACUAUUCAGUCAAACAGAAGGAUUACAAGGAGUGGAAAUUAGGACUCCAUUAAAGAGAAACUUGAACAAGACAUGACAAGAACUCAUUUAACCUAAAUAGAUGACUCAAUUUACAUAGAAAGUAAUUAAUAACUAUUUAGCAUCUAUUUCAACAUAUUUUAGAUAUGAAAUUACUAUGAAU